AGACGGCAGCCGACUCUCCCGAGACACAGGGCCGAGAAGAACCGUCGGCAAACGCACCAGACGGGCGGAAAAAAAGAGCAGGAUGAAGGGAGGAAGAUAUAGCCAGCCAGAGAAGGGAGAAGAGGAGAAACAUCUGGAAAAUAUCAGUGUUGCAGAGCCUCCCGGAAACUGACCUCGCCACCGAAAGGGUGAAUGGGGUCAAAAUGGAAACAGCAUGAGAGGGGCCACAGAAGGGAUUCACCAGGAAGAAGAGGAAAGGUGGGGCUGAGGUGGCCAGGACAGCACGACAUCACAUCUGACCAAGGCAUCCUCAGCCUUCCUUCAGAAAAGCAGCAGAAGGAAAAAGGUAUCAAAAAUCACAGUGUGGAACUCAGGCUUGAAAGAAACCUUAGAUGUUGUCUAUUCUUUUUUUUUUUUUUUUUUUUUUUUUUUGAGAUGGAGUUUUGCUUUGGUUGCCUAGUCUAGAGUGCAGUGGUGCAAUCUCAGCUCACUGCAACGUCUGCCUCCCAGGUUCAAGCAAUUCUCCUGCCUCAAUCUCCCGAGUAGCUGAGAUUACAGGCAUGUGCCACCCUGCCUGGCUAAUUUUGUAUUUUUAGUAGAGACAAGGUUUCACCAUGUUGGCCAGGCUGGUCUUGAACUCCUGACCUCAGGUGAUCCACCCACCUCAGCCUCCCAAAGUGCUGGGAUUACAAGCGUGAGACUCCGUGCCCAGCCAGAGAUUGUUUAAUCCUCUACCUGGCUGGUGAAGCAAUCUCCUAUCACAUCACCGGCAACAGACAUUCAUCCAGAAUUGCCUUGACAAACUUUAUUACCAGAGACAGCCUCCUUGAAAAAACAACUCCAUUUCCAUCCUAACCGUUAGAAAGUUCCUGUGUAUACUAAACUAAAAUUCAAGUCUAAGGGCAGUAAUUGUCAAAUUAUUUCCACUCUAACCACUGCCUUUACUCCUUAUGGCAAGGAAAUAAUUUUGUGAUGAGAUAAACAUAGGUUUUAAACUAAAUUUUAUUUUCAACAACCUAGUGGAGACCCCUCACAUUGCCUGGCUGAUGUAGCUGAAUUCAGUGUGAGACAGUUAUGCAACUUUCCAGUGCUUACCACACAUCUGCUAUUGAUUAUCGUGAGCAUUCAGAAGCAAGCAGCUCUGCUCAAGACACCCAGUGAUAAUCUUUCUCCUCAGUGUGCUCACUCCAAGGGGGCAGAAAACAAUGCCAAGACAGGUUGAGUAAGGGGCCCUACUUGACUGUAUUUGAGCAGUUAAGAGCUUUAUUCAAGUUUCUGAACAAAAUUUGAAAUGUGAAAUGCACAAAGAAGACAAAUGUAGUACUCCAUUUGUGGAAUCUGGACCACAGACUCCUGGUCUGAGAUCUAUUUGAAAGUCUAACCCACUUCUAGUUGCCAUAAUUUGAUUUUGGCAUUGAGUUUCUGACAUGGGUAGAAUCUAUUAACAAUUGUGCCAACUGAUGACUGCUUAGGAGACAGAAAAGGCUGACAUAGGCUUGCAGUUGCGAGUAGCCAAGGCUGACACUCAACAGAAAAACUCAGCAGGUGGUGAAAAUGUGAACUGAAGCAGAACUUACCCAAACAGGGCUUCAGGAAAAAUGGGAGGUUAUUUUUGCAGGUAGCAGUGAAAGGCAUGCAUCAGAAGUUUUUCCUCUUGAAUAGGUCAGGUUACAAAAUUUAAGUUACUCAGCCUCUCCUUAAAGAAGAGCUGCAGAAAUAUAUACUAGUUAUGAUUCACAAAGUUGUAGGCAUCAUGAAAAUGAAUGCAUUUUCUGAGAAACUGCUCACCUGAACAAUGUGCUAGCCUACCUAAAAAAGAUGAUAUUAAGUCCAUAAAUUUCCUAGUACAAACAGGAGAUCUAAAAUUCACCAACCUUUUCAAUCUGAAGUCUGUUUCAACAGACAUUUUACUACUGAACUUAGCAAAGCCCCAUCAUAUGCCAUUUAAUUUUCUCAAUUUCAGUGAUAUAUAAUCAGCCCAUAUCAGAUAGAAAGAAAUGAUCUAAAUGGGUACAUUGGCUACCAUUCCCCCUAAUGAUUUUAUGCUGCAGAGUAAGCAUGAGAAGGAGCUGGGAAUUUGCUGUUCCCUCUUCUCCCUCUAGUCUCUGCAUGGACUUUUACACUGUGAGCAUCUCACACACUGAUAAUGAAUGUUGUGUUUAAGGCAAGGUAUUGUUUCUUAGCAAAAUGCCUCAAAGACAAGCUAACUCUAGUAUCUGGUCUUAAAGAAAUAGCAACCUGUUUCAAUGCUAAGGAAACAGUGGCAGUAAGUCUUAUACUUAAUAGGAGAUGGUAUAUCAGCCUCCAACCUGGUAACUUCCUAAGAGGAUUUUUAAAAUAAUACUGACCCCAUACAAUUUUCACUUUACACAUUACUCGUAGUCUUAACCAAAUUGGCAUCUUACAAUCUCAUAUGUUACAGUGAUGCGGUCAAGAGUUGCUGAAAAAGACAUGAUUUUAGUUCUGAGGUCCCCAAAUUAUGUGCCAGUGUACCUCAGGGCACUACAGCAAAUUCACAGAGGUGUGCAGGAUAUUUUGUCUUUGAGGGAAACAAAGCAAUACACAACAUUUCUCAGAUGCUUGCAUGAAUGACUAUUUCAAGCGAAUUCACAGUUUAACAUAUUGUGUUAUUUUCCUUUUGAUGAUGUCAUUUCUUUGCAAAGCUAGGUUGUUGGUGGUUGCUGUGAUAAAAGGCAAGUAUUAGUUGAAAUGUGAUGUGGAACAGGAAAUUAGGGUAUUGGGAUUCAACCCAAUUUCUAAGUUUGAGGAACUGCAAUAAGUUUACUGCCUCACAGCUCGAAAUUCACCCUUCAUUACUCACUAUGUGAAGACACAGAAGGGACCUUUACAUAUUUUUUCUUUUGUUAGCUGGUACCAUUCUAAGCUUCAUCAGUGGAGAGUACUGUAGAGACAUUACAGAAAGAAGCAGUUUUCCUUCCUGGUUCCGGUACACUCUUUCUGCAGGCUGCUGCAAACACGCAUGGCUCCUAGAGUAUCCACACCUUCUUCAGCAACUGGCUCCUGCUGAACAUGAUGGUCAGCACCUCCCAGCCUCCAGCAGCUUCCACUGGCAUCCCUCUCGGUUGAUUUUGCAGCAGAAUGCAUCCAGUGAAAGACCUCCACAUGAAUAGCUUUCCUUAGCAUCUUAGAGGGUAGAUUUCUAGCAAGUUCUGCCAGCAUAGCACCCCAGUGACUUCUCUGCCAGCCCAGGAGCCACAGCAGGCCAUGACCUCUCCAGCAAGGUCUGGAGCAGAGAGAAGCAUGUGUUUGGGUGCUCUAUCAGACCCACGGCCCACGGGUAGGGGCUGCUCCUUAUAUCUGCUAUUCCUCUGUUAUUUAAAGUUCUCUUUACUUCCUGUUAGCUAGUCCCCAUUAUAGUGAACUACUUCUCUUUUUCUUAACAGUUUUCUUUUGUAUUUUUUAAAAAUUGUGGCAAAAUACAUAUAGUAUAAAAUUUACCAUCUUAAUAAUUUUAAAUAUACAGUUCAGGAGAAUUAAGUACAUUCACAUUGUUGUACAAUCAUCACCACUAUCCAUCUCUAGAACUUUUUUCAUCUUGCAAAACUGAAACUCUGUACCCACUGAAGACUAAUUCGCCAUUCUCUGCUCCUGUCAGCCCCUGGCAACCACCAUUCUACUUUUUGUCUCUAUAAAUUUGACUACUCCAGGUAACUUACAUUCAGUGGAAUUAAAGAGUAUUUGUCUUUUUGUGAUGGCUUAUCUCACUUAACAUCCUCAAGAUUCAUCCACAUGGUAGCAGGUCAGACUUUCCUUCCUUUCUUCCUUUUUAAGGCUGGGUGAUAUUCCAUUGUAUGUGUAUAUCACAUUUUGUUUAUACAUCCUUCUGUAGAUGGAUACCUGGAUUGCUACCACCUUUUGGGUUUUGGUUUACAAAUAUCUCUUUGAGAUGCCUUUUCAAUUCUUUUGAGUAUAUACCCAGAAGUAAAAUUGCUAAAUCAUAUGGUAAUUCUAUUUUUCAUUUUUAAAGGAACUGUCAUAUUGUUUUCCUAGCUAAUACUUGUUUAUUUUAAACUUUCCUUUAAAUUACUGUGUACUUUAUAUUCUCAUUAGACCCUGACCAAUAUAUGCAAUGCCCAACAGGUACAUACAUUCCAUUAAGAAAUGAAGAGUAACGUAAAAACAUUAUUUUUAAAUAUUUCAAUAUAUAUGUAUUAUUUUGUACAACUACAAAGUUAUCAAUACAGAAAUACUAAGUUGUUUGGAACUAAGUACUUAACAAAUGAAACUGCUAAGUAUUUCUUUUGUCCUAGAAAUGGCAUGAAAAAAAUUACUGAGACCACUAAGGGUGCAUGAGCCAAGAACAUUUGGAAGGCUCUGCUCUAGCCUACAUGUUUCCAGCUGCCAUUAGGACCUGUCUGCUUGAAUGGUUCCUUAGGCUCGCCCUAUCUAGGGGUAUCCCUGAAGGCACAGAUGGAGCCUUAAUAUUAACCGUACUUAAUAUUAUAUUUCUUUAUAAAUUUUUCUCACUUAGGCACUGGGGGCUACAAACCUUACAAUUAUCUUUGACUUAUGCUGCUCUGUCUCCCCUUAUUUCUAAUCUCACAUCAAAAUGUUUCCUGGAUUGGCCUUUUUUUCUCUCCAUUCCUGCAGCAGUCAGUAAAGCCAUCAUCUCUAGUUAGCGUUGCCUAACAGAUUUUAAGCUAGUUUCCCUUAAACAAGACAGUGGGUUGAAAAUUCAAAUGCUCACUGAGGCUAGAAAUAUGUUAAUUCAUACCUGCCACACAAGAAUUGGCUGCCUCAGUCCUUGCACCCAUGAAGGCAACACCAAUAGGACAGGCUGUGGGUGAGGCCCCAUUCCCAGGAUGCCAGCUAUUACAGUGUGGAUGUUUGUCCCUUCCAAGCCUCAUGUUGAAAUGUGAUGGAGGUGGGGCCUGAUAGGAGGUGUUUGGGUCAUGGAGGUGGAUCCUUAAUGAAUGGCUUGGUGCCCUCCCCAUGGUAACGAGUGAGUCCUUGCUCUAUGAGUUCAUGCGAGAGCUGGUUCUUUAAAAGAGCCUGGUACCUCCUCCCCUCUCUCUUGCU
This 5040-nucleotide long non-coding RNA is filed under the name Homo sapiens (human). RNAcentral's name for it is "non-protein coding lnc-DTWD2-15:5". Lineage: Eukaryota; Metazoa; Chordata; Mammalia; Primates; Hominidae. The record is from RNAcentral.